UGGGGAAUAUUGCACAAUGGGCGCAAGCCUGAUGCAGCGACGCCGCGUGGGGGAUGACGGCCUUCGGGUUGUAAACUCCUUUCGCCAGGGACGAAGCGUUUUGUGACGGUACCUGGAGAAGAAGCACCGGCUAACUACGUGCCAGCAGCCGCGGUAAUACGUAGGGUGCAAGCGUUGUCCGGAAUUACUGGGCGUAAAGAGCUCGUAGGUGGUUUGUCACGUCGUCUGUGAAAUUCCACAGCUUAACUGUGGGCGUGCAGGCGAUACGGGCUGACUUGAGUACUGUAGGGGUAACUGGAAUUCCUGGUGUAGCGGUGAAAUGCGCAGAUAUCAGGAGGAACACCGAUGGCGAAGGCAGGUUACUGGGCAGUUACUGACGCUGAGGAGCGAAAGCAUGGGUAGCAAACAGGAUUAGAUACCCUGGUAGUCCAUGCCGUAAACGGUGGGCACUAGGUGUAGGGGCCUUUUGGGGUUUCUGUGCCGUAGCUAACGCAUUAAGCGCCCCGCCUGGGGAGUACGGCCGCAAGGCUA
This 531-nucleotide ribosomal RNA is filed under the name uncultured bacterium. Its description in RNAcentral is "bacterial SSU rRNA". It matches the Rfam family "Bacterial small subunit ribosomal RNA", at positions 355 to 896 of the family's 1533-position model. The record is from RNAcentral.